Molecule: ribosomal RNA, 301 nt
Filed under: uncultured bacterium
Lineage: Bacteria
Description: partial 16S ribosomal RNA
Rfam family: Bacterial small subunit ribosomal RNA
Source: RNAcentral
CAGUAGCCGCGGUAAUACGAAGAGUGCAAGCGUUAAUCGGAAUUACUGGGCGUAAAGCGUGCGUAGGCGGUGAGUUAAGUCUGCUGUGAAAUCCCCGGGCUCAACCUGGGAAUGGCAGUGGAUACUGGCUCGCUAGAGUGUGUCAGAGGAUGGUGGAAUUCCCGGUGUAGCGGUGAAAUGCGUAGAGAUCGGGAGGAACAUCAGUGGCGAAGGCGGCCAUCUGGGACAACACUGACGCUGAGGCACGAAAGCGUGGGGAGCAAACAGGAUUAGAUACCCCUGUAGUCCCUGUCUCUUAUAC